AUUGAACGCUGGCGGAAUGCUUUACACAUGCAAGUCGAACGGCAGCACGGGGCAACCUGGUGGCGAGUGGCGAACGGGUGAGUAAUACAUCGGAACGUGCCCAAUCGUGGGGGAUAACGUAGCGAAAGUUACGCUAAUACCGCAUACGAUCUACGGAUGAAAGCGGGGGAUCGCAAGACCUCGCGCGAAUGGAGCGGCCGAUGUCAGAUUAGGUAGUUGGUGGGGUAAAGGCUCACCAAGCCGACGAUCUGUAGCUGGUCUGAGAGGACGACCAGCCACACUGGGACUGAGACACGGCCCAGACUCCUACGGGAGGCAGCAGUGGGGAAUUUUGGACAAUGGGCGCAAGCCUGAUCCAGCCAUUCCGCGUGCAGGAUGAAGGCCUC
RNAcentral lists this ribosomal RNA (386 nucleotides) under uncultured bacterium. RNAcentral's name for it is "bacterial SSU rRNA". It matches the Rfam family "Bacterial small subunit ribosomal RNA", at positions 30 to 418 of the family's 1533-position model. The record is from RNAcentral.